This 1248-nucleotide long non-coding RNA is filed under the name Pogona vitticeps (central bearded dragon). RNAcentral describes it as "lncRNA (ENSPVIG00000023607.1)". Lineage: Eukaryota; Metazoa; Chordata; Lepidosauria; Squamata; Agamidae. The record is from RNAcentral.
AAACCUCCCCCCCCCCGGCAAAAUGGCUGGGGCUUUCAGCAGUGCUGCAGACCGCUCACUGGCUUCCACUAGCUUUUUGUAACCAUGGCAACAACCAACAGACUGAGCCACCAAGCAUGGUUGAUCAUGUGCAGCCCUCCUCCCCACACGGGUGGUUAAUUGCUGUCUGUCCUCUGGUUAUGAUGAGAAGGGUGCUGAAAAAUUGUGAAGGAAUGAAUGACAGAAGCCUGGAUGCGCCAGUACAGUGAGAGGAAAUACCCUGUUGCUGAUGCAUUUGGAUCCCACCAAAGGGAAUACCUCCAUGUGGUUUCAAAACAGUGAUUAACUGAGAAGCAUGAAGUCUGAAGCCCACCUGGAACAUCCAAAGAAUGCGCUCAUCAGCUGUAGUCAGAUGAACCACUAAGAGCUGCAAUUAAGAAUUAAGAAAGUACAAGAAAGGGGUGAUCAUAUACCCCCCCACAUGGGUAGACGUUCAAGUUGAUUCACAUAUCCAGAUGACACUCUUUUUUUGGCCAUAGAUUGUUUUGCAGGGGCAGAGAGAUGCAUUUUCUCCAGAAGGAUGCUUACAUGAGCUCCAAACAGCUCUGAAAUACACAAAGUUUUGUCUCACAUUAACUGAAACAAGAGCUUGGAAGUAAUAGGUUAACUUUAACAUAUUACCGUAACUAGUUCCUUUUAGGAGUUUCUAAAACAGAAUUUCUUUUUCACUUGAGACAAAAAGGUCACUGGCCAUUUUGGCUCAGAGGUUUCUAGGAGCUGCAGUCCAAGAGAUAAUUUCCCCCAGCUCUGGACCUCAGUCAAAGUUUUUGUCACACAACUGUGUAGUAGUCAGUAGUGGUAAAUGCAGAAAAUGAUAUCCUUGCCACUAAGUAGUUUGGAAAACUCUCUCCAGGGCAACUAGUUAUCCUCUUCUUGUCAGCAUGUUACAUUACCUGCAAACUUAAACGAUGGCAUGUUCCCUUUUAUAUAAUGUAUGUGCAUAGUGAAAAAAAAUCUGUAAUGGAGACAAAUAUCUUUUAAAAGUGUGGAUUAACAGCACGUACACGAUCUGGUAUUUUUAAAUACUAUUCUGCCAAACGUACAAUUUAAACAACAAUACUGUUUGACAGCAUUUCAUCAGUACUGCCGAAUUCUAUUCUGCAAUACAUGGAGUAAUAUAUUGCGGAAUAUAUUCAUUUGUAGAUGAGUUAAGUAUUUGGCUGCAGAGCCAGAGGCUGGGAAUUCAACCCUGCACUGUGCAUCCCAGAA